GUCUACCGCUGGCAGCAGCGUGAGACGGAGGCAGACACGGAACUGCAGCCCCUCGCCCACGGGGAUGACAUGAUCCAGGCUGGGAGUCGAACUCGACGUUCUCAUCCUAGACGGUCACCAGAUCCUGGUACCCAAACCUGGGACAGGACGACUCCUCCAGGUCCUGCCAGAAUCGAGCACGUGAGAAGCAGGAGCAGAGCAGGGACACCCUUCCCGCAGCGACCUCCCUGA
This 231-nucleotide long non-coding RNA is filed under the name Ursus maritimus (polar bear). Its description in RNAcentral is "lncRNA (ENSUMAG00000012104.1)". Lineage: Eukaryota; Metazoa; Chordata; Mammalia; Carnivora; Ursidae. The record is from RNAcentral.